ACUCCUACGGGAGGCAGCAGUGGGGAAUAUUGCACAAUGGGCGCAAGCCUGAUGCAGCCAUGCCGCGUGUAUGAAGAAGGCCUUCGGGUUGUAAAGUACUUUCAGCGGGGAGGAAGGCAAUACGGUUAAUAACCGUGUUGAUUGACGUUACCCGCAGAAGAAGCACCGGCUAACUCCGUGCCAGCAGCCGCGGUAAUACGGAGGGUGCAAGCGUUAAUCGGAAUUACUGGGCGUAAAGCGCACGCAGGCGGUCUGUCAAGUCGGAUGUGAAAUCCCCGGGCUCAACCUGGGAACUGCAUUCGAAACUGGCAGGCUUGAGUCUUGUAGAGGGGGGUAGAAUUCCAGGUGUAGCGGUGAAAUGCGUAGAGAUCUGGAGGAAUACCGGUGGCGAAGGCGGCCCCCUGGACAAAGACUGACGCUCAGGUGCGAAAGCGUGGGGAGCAAACAGGAUUAGAAACCCCAGUAGUCCCAU
Molecule: ribosomal RNA, 472 nt
Filed under: uncultured organism
Description: partial 16S ribosomal RNA
Rfam family: Bacterial small subunit ribosomal RNA
Source: RNAcentral